GCAUAUCAAUAAGCGGAGGAAAAGAAACCAACAGGGAUUGCCUUAGUAGCGGCGAGUGAAGCGGCAAAAGCUCAAAUUUGAAAUCUGGCACUUUCAGUGUCCGAGUUGUAAUUUGAAGAAGGUAUCUUUGGGUCUGGCUCUUGUCUAUGUUUCUUGGAACAGAACGUCACAGAGGGUGAGAAUCCCGUGCGAUGAGAUGACCCAAACCUAUGUAAAGUUCCUUCGAAGAGUCGAGUUGUUUGGGAAUGCAGCUCUAAGUGGGUGGUAAAUUCCAUCUAAAGCUAAAUAUUGGCGAGAGACCGAUAGCGAACAAGUACAGUGAUGGAAAGAUGAAAAGAACUUUGAAAAGAGAGUGAAAAAGUACGUGAAAUUGUUGAAAGGGAAGGGCUUGAGAUCAGACUUGGUAUUUUGUAUGUUACUCUUUCGGGGGUGGCCUCUACAGUUUACCGGGCCAGCAUCAGUUUGGGCGGUAGGAGAAUUGCAAAGAAAUGUGGCACUGCUUCGGUAGUGUGUUAUAGUCUUUGUCGAUACUGCCAGCCUAGACUGAGGACUGCGGCUUCGGCCUAGGAUGUUGGCAUAAUGAUCUUAAGUCGCCCGUCUUGAAACACGGACC
Molecule: ribosomal RNA, 613 nt
Filed under: [Candida] sp. M44
Lineage: Eukaryota; Fungi; Ascomycota; Saccharomycetes; Saccharomycetales
Description: eukaryotic LSU rRNA
Rfam family: Eukaryotic large subunit ribosomal RNA
Source: RNAcentral